CAGCUAAGGAUCUCACGCAUCAUUGCCAUUGCCGUAUGGGGACUCAUCGCGCUGGGGCUGCUGGCCUGGGGACCUGCUAUAGCUCCUCCUGGCAGGAGGUGGUGGUGGCGACCUGCUCAGGUCACGGGCUGGCGGUGGCGAUCUGCUGUUGUUCCGCGGAGGUGGUGGAGGUGGCGACUUGCUGUAGCUGCGCGCUCGAGCUGGUGGAGGUGACCUGCUGAGACUCCGUGCACGAGGUGGCGGUGGAGACCUGCUGUCACUCCGCCUCCUAGGAGAACGAUCCCGUGGGCUGUAGCUCCU
RNAcentral lists this long non-coding RNA (300 nucleotides) under Setaria viridis. Its description in RNAcentral is "long non-coding RNA (SVIR_LNC000993)". Lineage: Eukaryota; Viridiplantae; Streptophyta; Magnoliopsida; Poales; Poaceae. The record is from RNAcentral.